Molecule: ribosomal RNA, 253 nt
Filed under: uncultured bacterium
Lineage: Bacteria
Description: partial 16S ribosomal RNA
Rfam family: Bacterial small subunit ribosomal RNA
Source: RNAcentral
UACGUAGGGUGCAAGCGUUAAUCGGAAUCAUUGGGCGUAAAGCGCACGUAGGCGGCUUCGCAAGUCGGAUGUGAAAUCCCUCGGCUCAACCGAGGACGUGCAUACGAAACUGCGGAGCUUGAGUGCUGAAGAGGAUCGCGGAAUUCCCGGUGUAGCGGUGAAAUGCGCAGAUAUCGGGAAGAACACCCGUGGCGAAGGCGGCUCUCUGGAACGCAACUGACGCUGAGACGCGAAAGCGUGGGGAGCAAACAGG